GUGGGGAAUCUUGCGCAAUGGGCGAAAGCCUGACGCAGCCAUGCCGCGUGGAUGAUGAAGGUCUUAGGAUUGUAAAAUCCUUUCACCGGUGAAGAUAAUGACUGUAGCCGGAGAAGAAGCCCCGGCUAACUUCGUGCCAGCAGCCGCGGUAAUACGAAGGGGGCUAGCGUUGCUCGGAUUUACUGGGCGUAAAGGGCGCGUAGGCGGACAUUUAAGUCAGGGGUGAAAUCCCGGGGCUCAACCUCGGAACUGCCUUUGAUACUGGGUGUCUUGAGUAUGAGAGAGAUGUGUGGAACUCCGAGUGUAGAGGUGAAAUUCGUAGAUAUUCGGAAGAACACCAGUGGCGAAGGCGACACACUGGCUCAUUACUGACGCUGAGGCGCGAAAGCGUGGGGAGCAAACAGGAUUAGAAACCCUUGUAGUCC
RNAcentral lists this ribosomal RNA (425 nucleotides) under uncultured bacterium. RNAcentral's name for it is "partial 16S ribosomal RNA". It matches the Rfam family "Bacterial small subunit ribosomal RNA", at positions 354 to 796 of the family's 1533-position model. The record is from RNAcentral.